This is a long non-coding RNA of Teleopsis dalmanni, 807 nucleotides long. RefSeq lists it as uncharacterized. The transcript is spliced from 3 exons. The record is from RefSeq and is a predicted model, not a curated record. Lineage: Eukaryota; Metazoa; Arthropoda; Insecta; Diptera; Diopsidae.
CUAAAUUGUUUCGGUUUUUUUAUUCAAUUAAAAACCGACUAAAAUAUUGGCUUUACCAGAGAUCAAGUUUCUUCAAGUUCUUUGCAAAGACGUUCAAAUAUGUAUAUUUCUUUAUAUGAGACUGAAAUGCCAGAAAGUUUUGGUACCAUUUUAUGUUUAAUUUUGGUUGUAUUAUUGAUUUCGAUCACAGUUUUAAGCAUAUAUCAGUGUUUUAAGUAUACUAAAAAUAACAGGAGGGCGCGUUAUUACGAUCGUUUGGACUGUCGUUAUAGUCAACCAGGAAAGAUUUUUGAGAAUAUACAUUCUACUAGUCACCGAUCAUAAAAUUACUAAUAACAGUUUAAUAAAACACCAAAAACUUUAUAUCAUAAUGAACUUGCGGACACUAACCAACUAACGGACAUGGACGGUAUUAACAUGAUUCUUUCAUACUACGUUACCACAGUACAUAAUACCUACAAAAAAUAUUUCCACAAACUGGUUAUCUUUGAGUCGUACUGAUUGCUGAUACUGGUGUGAAAAUGAAGAGAUGAUGAUGCAGGUUAUUGUUUAGUGAUGCGCUGUAUCCAGAAGAUAACAGUUAGAGACUUUUUGCUUAGCAAUAGAAACAGAUUAAAUAUUUAUCUUAAAAGUCUUUAAUUUUUUAAUUGAAUCAGCACUCGAAAAAUGUUACAAAGAUGUAUAGUUGGAAUAAAUAAAGACAUACGAAGAAUAGACGUCAUUAACUACAACGAAAACAAUAUUCAAAAGUCUGACUGUUGGUAGGCAGGCUUAACACUACAGCAGUUUUUAAUGGAUCAAUCAACC